This 279-nucleotide long non-coding RNA is filed under the name Rattus norvegicus (Norway rat). RNAcentral describes it as "long non-coding RNA NONRATT027132". Lineage: Eukaryota; Metazoa; Chordata; Mammalia; Rodentia; Muridae. The record is from RNAcentral.
GCCCAAGGUCACGCGGCAAAGCAGAUACGGGUCUCGGCGGAACCCAAGUAUCCAGGCUCCAGACUCAGAGCUCCGCAGCGUACAGGUCUCACAGGAAAUUCUCAGCUCCUAGGCAUGGGUCCUUGGGCUUCUUGCCUCGGAAGCGCAGCAGCCGGCAUCGUGGAAAAGUGAAGAGCUUCCCUAAGGAUGACCCUUCCAAGCCUGUUCACCUCACAGCCUUCCUAGGGUACAAGGCUGGCAUGACCCACAUUGUCCGGGAAGUUGACCGGCCAGGAUCUA